Molecule: non-coding RNA, 27 nt
Filed under: Cricetulus griseus (Chinese hamster)
Lineage: Eukaryota; Metazoa; Chordata; Mammalia; Rodentia; Cricetidae
Source: RNAcentral
GCAGACGUAUCAGAGGCGAGUCAGGUG